UGAGGGAUAUUGGUCAAUGGGCGAAAGCCUGAACCAGCGACGCCGCGUGGGUGACGAAGGUCUUCGGAUCGUAAAGCCCUUUUCUGGGUGAAGAGCAAGGACGGUAGCCCAGGAAGAAGUCUCGGCUAACUACGUGCCAGCAGCCGCGGUAAAACGUAGGAGACAAGCGUUAUCCGGAGUUACUGGGCGUAAAGGGCGUGCAGGCGGCGCAUUAAGUCUGUUGUGAAAGCGCCUGGCUUAACCGGGCGAGGCCAAUGGAGACUGAUGGGCUAGAGGACGGCGGAGGGGUGUGGAAUUCCGGGUGUAGUGGUGAAAUGCGUAGAGAUCCGGAGGAACACCAGAGGCGAAGGCGGCACCCUAAGCCGUACCUGACGCUGAGACGCGACAGCACGGGGAGCAAACGGGAUUAGGAUACCCUGGUAGUCCACGCCGUAAACGAUGGGUACUAGGCGUCGGGGGGAGCGACCCUCCCGGUGCCGUCGCUAACGCAGUAAGUACCCCGCCUGGGGAGUACGGCCGCAAGG
Molecule: ribosomal RNA, 524 nt
Filed under: uncultured bacterium
Lineage: Bacteria
Description: bacterial SSU rRNA
Rfam family: Bacterial small subunit ribosomal RNA
Source: RNAcentral